GAGGAAUAUUGCGCAAUGGGGGAAACCCUGACGCAGCGACGCCGCGUGGAUGAUGAAGGCCUUUGGGUCGUAAAAUCCUGUCAGGUGGGAAGAAGUGUAUGUGGGUUAAUAUCUCAUGUAUUUGACGGUACCA
RNAcentral lists this ribosomal RNA (133 nucleotides) under uncultured bacterium. Its description in RNAcentral is "partial 16S ribosomal RNA". It matches the Rfam family "Bacterial small subunit ribosomal RNA", at positions 356 to 480 of the family's 1533-position model. The record is from RNAcentral.